Molecule: ribosomal RNA, 166 nt
Filed under: Trichomonas gallinae
Lineage: Eukaryota; Parabasalia; Trichomonadida; Trichomonadidae
Description: 5.8S ribosomal RNA
Rfam family: 5.8S ribosomal RNA
About the family: 5.8S ribosomal RNA (5.8S rRNA) is a component of the large subunit of the eukaryotic ribosome. It is transcribed by RNA polymerase I as part of the 45S precursor that also contains 18S and 28S rRNA. Functionally, it is thought that 5.8S rRNA may be involved in ribosome translocation.
Source: RNAcentral
UCUCUAAGCAACGGAUGUCUUGGCUCCUCACACGAUGAAGAACGUGGCAUAAUGUGUUAAGUAACCGGAGUUGCAAACAUCAUGACGGGUUAAUCUUUGAAUGCAAAUUGCGCUUACCCGACUUCGGUCGAGGAGCAUGCGUGUAACAGUACAACAUAAUUUAUAA